UACGAAGGGGGCUAGCGUUGCUCGGAAUCACUGGGCGUAAAGCGCACGUAGGCGGACUCUUAAGUCGGUGGUGAAAUCCUGGAGCUCAACUCCAGAACUGCCUUCGAUACUGAGAGUCUCGAGUCCGAGAGAGGUGAGUGGAACUGCGAGUGUAGAGGUGAAAUUCGUAGAUAUUCGCAAGAACACCAGUGGCGAAGGCGGCUCACUGGCUCGGUACUGACGCUGAGGUGCGAAAGCGUGGGGAUCGAACAGG
This 253-nucleotide ribosomal RNA is filed under the name uncultured bacterium. RNAcentral describes it as "partial 16S ribosomal RNA". It matches the Rfam family "Bacterial small subunit ribosomal RNA", at positions 524 to 776 of the family's 1533-position model. The record is from RNAcentral.